Molecule: long non-coding RNA, 1658 nt
Filed under: Bemisia tabaci
Lineage: Eukaryota; Metazoa; Arthropoda; Insecta; Hemiptera; Aleyrodidae
Description: lncRNA ENSSWEETPG011572
Source: RNAcentral
UCUCUAAAAUAUAUUGGGUGUAUGGGCUUGGUUACUUUCUGCCGAACUCCGUCGAGUAAUUUUAAUUAUUCCUAAUCCUUUUCUUCUUUAUUUUUUUACAGAUGCAGGAGUCAAUGGUGUCGGAGAUGAUAGCAGCAGUAGCAUCUCAAGUUCGAUUGCCGACGAGAGAGGAGGUGCCCUGAAUCUAGUAACCGAUACGUCACUUCGACAUUCGCCUAAUGGUGAGGGUAGUCCUGUGGCGGGUAGCAAUCAAACAGCAAGCGUUCAAGCAGCUUUAGCGGCGCUGCAGGCUGGUCAGCUUUCUCUAAAUCAGCUGAUGAGCCUCGGUGCAGCACAAGGUCAAUCACUUCUACUCCAGAACCAGCUGUCAGGCGGUCUGCCGCUUCCAAACCUCUCUUCCCUGAACCCUCAGGAACUUUCAUCGCUUCAGCAAACGCUUCAGCAGCACCAGCACUCGCUUCAAACAGCAACUUCAGCAGUUCUGCCUCUUUCAACCCAACGCCGGCCAGCAGCUUCCUCCGCAGGCACAAUUCUUCCUACAAAAUCAGGGUGUUUUGCCUCAUAGGUUUCCUCCCCGACAGAACAUACCUCCUCCUCGCAGUACUACUCACUCUAUCCAGGUUUGCAUUCUUUCAUAUUCUAUUCUCUUCCUCGUUAGCUAUUGUAAUCACAAGAAAGUAGAGCAAACGUAGAUUUUUGAAUGCAUGACAAUAGUUAUAAAAUAUCAUACUUCAAUUCCUGUCUCCGAGUAAACUACGAUGCCCGCACGUCUAGGAACAAUAUUGUAAGGAAAAUUUUGCAGCAAUUGCUGCAAGCAAUGCAGCAAAUGCAGCAAUUUUGCCGCUCGAUUCAUCGCAUUUUAACAGAUUUUUUGACUAGCGUCGUUAUGAUUUUGCUAAUAGCAUGUUGGCUGCCCUGUUGAAUUUUACCUACAAUUAUGGUAGCACCGACUCUUAUAAGGACUUUAAGAAAACAAUUUUGACGGAGUCGUCAAAUUUUGCGUGCCGCGCAAUCGGCAAGCAUGAUGAUUCGAUCGCCAAUUUUUGCUAAUUACACUACACGCCAAAAUUUGCUGAAUCCGUCGAAAACCUUUACCUUGGCGAAUAUUGAAGUUCACUAUUUUUGUAAUUUAAUGAAAUCAUAAAGAGGCAAUGAAACCAAGCUGUUACGUGCAAUAUUACCGGAAUAUUUAAAAAAAAAUAUCGGGCAGGAUUCAAAAUGAAUUGUUUUUAUAUGCUUUCAAAACCUAGGAUUUCACUGAUGUACACGCCUUUAAAAUUUGGUCGCAUCCUAGUCUAGUCUUACUCCCGGCAAAAUUAUGUGUGGGAAAAUAACGUGUUGAGACGUUUUUCAUCUCGUAUUAAAGAAAGGUAAAAACUCUGAAGUAUUUCGAUGGCCACAGCGAGAAACCACGUAUCUCUAUUUUCGACGUUGCAGAUUCCUGUAAUACUUCUUUUGUUCUUUGGAAAACUACUCGACGUCAUUUUUUAAAACUUCCUCGAUUUUUCUUCUUUGUCGGCAAAAUAUUCGGCAUUAAUUUAAAGAUAUAAAGUUGACUUGUUUUUUUUUUAAAAAAAAAUACAUAAAAAAGGAUCGGAAAUUUUGGAACAAUGGAAUAGAGAUACAUAGUUUCGCACUUUAGCCAUCGAUUUACAGCA